RNAcentral lists this ribosomal RNA (348 nucleotides) under uncultured bacterium. RNAcentral's name for it is "SSU rRNA". It matches the Rfam family "Bacterial small subunit ribosomal RNA", at positions 26 to 285 of the family's 1533-position model. The record is from RNAcentral.
AGGAUGAACGCUGGCGGCGUGCCUAAUACAUGCAAGUCGAGCGGUAAGGCUCUGCACUUAGUAUUUGAUCCGGGACUAGUCGAAGACUUGUCCCUAAGCCACUGUAUUGAUCGCUCUAGGCUAGAGUGUGAUACACGGGGGUAACAGAUCGAAUAAUAAGUGUAGAGUACACGAGCGGCGGACGGCUGAGUAACGCGUAGGAACGUACCCCAAAGUGAGGGAUAAGCACCAGAAAUGGUGUCUAAUACCGCAUGUGCUCUAAGGAGUAAAGCUUUAUGCGCUUUGGGAACGGCCUGCGUAUGAUUAGCUUGUUGGUGGGGUAACGGCCUACCAAGGCGACGACGGGUA